This 2627-nucleotide long non-coding RNA is filed under the name Nicotiana tabacum (common tobacco). RNAcentral's name for it is "long non-coding RNA (NTAB_LNC016369)". The record is from RNAcentral. Lineage: Eukaryota; Viridiplantae; Streptophyta; Magnoliopsida; Solanales; Solanaceae.
GGACAAGACUAGCGGUGGAAUAAAUAGUAAAAUUUUGUUCACCAAUAUUUCUUUCAUAACAUAAAGCUUUCUCCUCCCGCCAAAAAGUCAAAAACUAAAUCAUAAGCUCUUUUCUAAAAUAAUUUUCUCAUUUACAACAGGUGAUAAUUUAAACCCAAUUGCCCUUCCAAAAGUAUCAUCCCUCGAGCAAACGACAACUUUAUGACUCGAUGUGUUGGCAUAUUCCCCGUGUAUAACCAACCUCCCAAAAAUGAUUUUCAGAAGCUAAGUAGGUAGGGGUGUUCAUGGUUCGAUUUGGAUCGAUUUUUUUCCUAAAAAGAAACCAAACCAAAUAAGUCAACUUUCAAAUAUUAGAACCAAAUCAAAUCAAUUAAGUCGGUUUUUCUCGAUUCGGUUUAUGUCGAUUUUUCGAUUAUUUGUUGGUUUUUCUUAAAUAUAAGACAUACACUACCAAACACAUAUUCCUGCGACCACAUUUUCAAUGUAACACUAUCAAAUCAAUUGCCCUUUAAGAAAUCUAUUAUUUACCAAAAUAUAUUGAUGAUAAUUGAAUCAAAUAGUGAUGAAUAAUUUAAGGUCUCAAUUAAAAUAUGUUAUUUUUUAACAUAAAAUGAAUUCUUACACUAAACAAAAAAAAACUACCAAUCAAACUAGAAUGUAAAGGUAAAGAAUUAUUUUAAAAGUGCAAACUAUUAACAUUUACCAUAAAAUUUUUGAAAUUUUGUAUAACAAUAUACAUAUAUAUAUAUGUAAUAAUAAAUUUAAAAUAACUACUCAUAUAGUCAAUUUGGUUCGAUUUUUUUCUGAUUAAAACCAAAACCAAACCAAAUUUGAUCGGUUUUUAAAAUUCAAAACCAAACCAAACCAAACCAAAAAAUAACGAUUUUUUUAAUCAGGUUUGGUUUGGUUUACGGUUUGGUUCGAUUUCUCGGAUUUUUAUGAAUAGGUAUCACAGCUUUAGCAGAAUAGAACAUCUCAAUUUUCUAAGAGAAAUGAAACAGGUUCAAUAUCUAGAAAAUUCGUACCUAGAAUUAGUCCAAAACAAUUAGUAUUUCUUUAUUCCAUUAGUAAUGCAAUUGAGAUAUUUAUUACAAAAUUGUAGGUAUUUAUCAAAUUUGAUUUUAUCCUAAUGAUUUUUAGCUUUAAAAUAAUUAAAGCUUCUUACAAAACUAAACCGAAAAAUCACUAAUUGUUUUCUAGUCACAAUGCCUCGGAUAUUUUUGCGUUACACAGAAAGCUUCUAUUACCAAAGCUAAAGUCAUUCUUCACAUGUUCCUGCACUCAUAAUUGCAGCGGAUAGUUGAAAGCUAUGAAUACUUCAUAAAGUUGGUAUAUUUUCAUAUCAAUCUAUUAUCUCAAAGUCAGAAAUAAGUUACGAAAAAUAGGAAGAAAACAAUUGAAGGGCAUCAGUUCUCCAAGGUGAUAUAGCAUCAAUGAAAAGUAUCAGACGCAAAUUACCCAUUAAAAUUAUGAUAUUCCUCAUCUGCCCAUAAAAUCAAAGAAAAAAACUCUGGGAGUCGAGUAGUAGUAAAUAGUGAAAGAUAAUAAGCGAUCAGAACCUGUCGGGAUUCACUGUUUACAUCACACAAAUUAGUCAGUGGAUUGACAGACAAUGAAUUCUAUCGUCAACUCGCUCUGUUUCUUUCCCAUGAAAAGAGUAAAAAGGAUCUCAAAAGUAACAAAAGGAAGAUAUAAAACUGGUUGAAAAGUGAAGAGCUCAGAAAUUGGUAGAGGGUUGUGUCAAUGGUACACAUUUGAAAUUUUCUUCGAAGCAUCCAAACAGUAGAUAAGAAACAUGAGAACUCAUUGAAUUAAAACCAAAACUAAAACAAAGCAACAACUAAAAAAUUAAGGAAAUAUAAUGGGGACUCAGUUUAUGGGUGGUGAUAUAUCAGGAUGGUCGGCAAGGUGGAUUUACACCAUUACGACGAACGAGACCAAUCUGAAAAGUAGUCGUCAUUGUCCUAAUAACACUUUUCAAUCUCAAAAUAAUCAAAACGAAUUUAGAACGAAAACAAUUUGAGAGUCAUCAGAUAGGAGCGAAAGACUAGAGUAGUUUUAUAAUCACAAAUAAUUUCAUGUGAACUAUGGUACUAGUCAUCAUUUGACCCCCGUUGACUACUUCAAACACAGAAGAAUCAAUUAUUGAAUUAAAAGUACAGAAAAACUUAAUAAAAUUUUGAUAAAAGGGCAGCCUCAGAAGGAAGGCAGUAGUAUAGUCGUAAUCAUGAUUUUCUCAUUAACGCAAAACAACUACAUCAUCAUCGGCAAAAACUGAAACCAAAACUUAGAUUCAGAUUAAAUCACCAUUUAAAACCUGAGAUAAAAGACAAAUGAAACAAAUAAUUUUCUCUGAAAAUUAAAGGGAAAGAAUGUGAAGGAUUUAAAGAAGAAUAAAACGGCCUCAUAGAGAAGAUUAGAGUAUUCAACAUGAGAAAAAUUCAGACAUAUGCUUGUCUAUUAAAUAAGUCUAAUCAUUGGCCAAACAACUAGUAAAUACAAUAGAAGAAAAAAAAAAUAGAAGUUUGCGUUGACGCUAUUUUCUUAGAAGAACAGGAAAAGAUUACUAAUGGAAGAGCUAAAGCAGAUCGGGGGGAGGACUAGAAAAAACAAAGCAGUCAGAAAAA